CUUUGAGAGGACUAUUCCUAAAAGCCAAAUUUAACAACACAUCCAGCCUCAGACUCAGUAAACCAUCAGAGUUGAUCUUCUAUUAUUCUCAUUUUAUAUGCUUGGAAAUUAAUACUGAAAAUUUGGACUGGGUAUCCAAGGCAAGACACCUAACUAGAUGCCACCAGGAAGAACAUCUCCCACAAAAACAGACCAAAAUAUCCAGUAAAUCAGCAUACUCAGAACAGAUCAUCUGAAGGAAUGAACUAAAAGAGAUUAGAAAGACAACCCAGACACCAGGAUGAAAGGGAGAGGAAGCUGGGAAUCCUUCUUGGGGUUGCUGAAUAUGGGACAUGUUCCAGGCCCUGAAUGGCUCUGAGUUACGUCCCUGGACUUUGGGACUCAUUCUGCUCGACUUGAUCCCUGCUCUGCCCAUUGAUCACAUACACACGUUUACACCUGGCAGAAGAGGAAGAGGAGGCAUGAAGGAAUGGCCUCUUCAGAAUGGAGAAAAGCCUUCCCCAUGAGAACAUGCCUAAGACAGACUGCUGAAGAAGGCGGCAAAUGGAACAGCGCUGAAUCAGCCUGGUCAUCCCAGUCAAGCCUCCAGACAUGUAAGCACCCUCCUCUGAUCUGCAGAGCUGCCUGGCCCAAAUACUGUUGACCACUCUUGAGUAAGCCCCACCAAGAUCAGCUGAGAACAGUAGAACUGACCAGAUGACUCUAACCUCAUGAAUAAAUCCAAGUGUUUUUUUAUUUGCCUCUGA
RNAcentral lists this long non-coding RNA (746 nucleotides) under Homo sapiens (human). Its description in RNAcentral is "HSALNT0354683". Lineage: Eukaryota; Metazoa; Chordata; Mammalia; Primates; Hominidae. The record is from RNAcentral.